UCUUAUAUUCUUGUGUGUUCAACAGCAUUGUAGUAACCAAGCAGACACAGACCUACCUAGUGUGAUGACUUGUGCAAAUUACCUUAAGCUACCUCCGUAUUCGUCAAAAGAAAGGAUGAAAGAGAAGCUCUUGUAUGCCAUAACAGAGGGUCAAGGAUCUUUCCACCUUUCAUGACUUCAUUCUCUUGACUGAAUCAGCUUAUUUGGAUUUUGAAGGUGUAAUUAUUAGGGUGAUUGGUAGCAAUGUAGAUAAGGGUAUUUAACUAGUUGCUAGCAGUGCUGAUCACAGCAAGUUACUUUCUUGGGGACAAAGCUUUCUGUCUUCACUGACUACAAUUGUUGGGGGGUGUAUAUAGCCUGCUGAAUGCUGAUGGUUAGCUGUUUUUUGGAUUGUGUCCGCUGUAUAGAAACAAACGGAGUGCAAUUUAAUUAGUCAUGCUUUUUGAUAUUUUUUGUACAGUAUUUAGUAUUGGGACCUUAAUGAUUAAUAGCCGUUUACCUGGUAGCUUUGUUCCCUUUGGUACAUCUGCUGUUACUUUAUUAUAUAUGAUAUUAUUUUCGAUUCGAUGAAAUUUCAUUCUACCUUUUUACUGAUGUAUUUAUGGAUUGUGACUGC
This 616-nucleotide long non-coding RNA is filed under the name Medicago truncatula (barrel medic). Its description in RNAcentral is "lncRNA gene3684". Lineage: Eukaryota; Viridiplantae; Streptophyta; Magnoliopsida; Fabales; Fabaceae. The record is from RNAcentral.